AUGACAUCGAUCGAAGUGGCGGUGGCCGGCGGCAAUGGCAAGAGGAGGUGGGUGUCGGACGUGGAGAAGACGCUGAAUGAGGCGGACAAGACGGUGGAGGUGGCGCAGUGGGAGCGGCACUGCAUCUACCGCGUGCCGGCGUGCAUCAAGGACAUCAAGAGCAAGGCGUACCAGCCGCAGGUGGUGUCGCUGGGCCCGUUCCACCACGGCGACCCCAACCUGCUGCCCAUGGAGGAGCACAAGCGCCGGGCGCUGCGCCACCUGCUCCGGCGCGCGGGCCGGCCACUGGACGACUUCGUCGCCGCCGUCGAGGAGAUCGCGGAGCAGCUGGAGAGCGCGUACAUGGACCUCGGCGGCGAGUGGCGCGCCGGCAUCGACGGCAAGGGCAGGGAGCGGUUCCUGGAGAUGAUGAUCGUCGACGGCUGCUUCCUGCUCGAGGUGAUGAGGAGAACGGCCGCCGGGAACUUGAAGCAGGUCGACGACUACGCCGGCAACGACCCCAUCUUCAGCCGCCACGGGAUACUCUACAUGGUGCCCUACAUCAAGCGCGACAUGCUCAUGCUCGAGAACCAGCUGCCGCUGCUCGUGCUCCAGAGGCUCGACAACGUCGAGACUGGAAAGUCUCCGAACGACGACUUCAUCAACAGAAUGGUGCUAAGGUUUCUGGCGCCAUUCUCACGGCCAUUGCAGCCAGGCGGUCGCCUAGGGCUGCACCCACUCGACGUCUUCCGCCGGAGCAUGCUCUUCGGCGAAUACCAGAAGAUCCGGAGCUCCGAGGACAACACGCAGGACAACGACAUCAUCCGAUCGGCGGUGGAGCUGUACGAAGCCGGGAUCCAGUUCAAGACGAGCAAGUCAAGCAGCCUGCACAACAUCCGGUUCAAGCACGGCGUGCUGAGCAUGCCGACGGUGCCCGUGGACGACUCCACCGAGUACAUGUUCCUCAACAUGAUGGCGUUCGAGCGGCUGCACGUCGGCGCCGGCAACGACGUGACGGCCUACGUCUUCUUCAUGGACAACAUCAUCGACUCGGCCAAGGACGUGGCGCUGCUGAGCUCCAAGGGGAUCAUCCAGAACGCCGUGGGCAGCGACAAGGCCGUGGCCAAGCUCUUCAACAGCAUCUCCAGGGACGUGGUGCUGGAGCCGGACAGCGCGCUGGACGCCGUGCAGAGGCAGGUGAACGGCUACUUCAGGCAGCCGUGGAACAUGUGGCGCGCCAACCUCAUCCACACCUACUUCAGGAGCCCGUGGGCGUUCCUCUCCCUCGCCGCCGCCGUCUUCCUCCUCGUCAUGACCAUCAUGCAGACCGUCUACACAGUGCUGCCGUUCUAUAAUCGGGACAGCAACAGCCCGCCGUCGGCUCCAUCUCCGAUGUGA
Molecule: ribosomal RNA, 1377 nt
Filed under: Triticum aestivum (bread wheat)
Lineage: Eukaryota; Viridiplantae; Streptophyta; Magnoliopsida; Poales; Poaceae
Description: partial small subunit ribosomal RNA
Source: RNAcentral